Molecule: ribosomal RNA, 252 nt
Filed under: uncultured bacterium
Lineage: Bacteria
Description: partial 16S ribosomal RNA
Rfam family: Bacterial small subunit ribosomal RNA
Source: RNAcentral
UACGUAGGUCCCAAGCGUUGUCCGGAUUUAUUGGGCGUAAAGCGAGCGCAGGUGGUUUAUUAAGUCUGGUGUAAAAGGCAGUGGCUCAACCAUUGUAUGCAUUGGAAACUGGUAGACUUGAGUGCAGGAGAGGAGAGUGGAAUUCCAUGUGUAGCGGUGAAAUGCGUAGAUAUAUGGAGGAACACCGGUGGCGAAGGCGGCUCUCUGGCCUGUAACUGACACUGAGGCUCGAAAGCGUGGGGAGCAAACAGG